RNAcentral lists this ribosomal RNA (562 nucleotides) under Salmonella enterica subsp. enterica. RNAcentral's name for it is "bacterial SSU rRNA". It matches the Rfam family "Bacterial small subunit ribosomal RNA", at positions 880 to 1442 of the family's 1533-position model. The record is from RNAcentral. Lineage: Bacteria; Pseudomonadati; Pseudomonadota; Gammaproteobacteria; Enterobacterales; Enterobacteriaceae.
GUACGGCCGCAAGGUUAAAACUCAAAUGAAUUGACGGGGGCCCGCACAAGCGGUGGAGCAUGUGGUUUAAUUCGAUGCAACGCGAAGAACCUUACCUGGUCUUGACAUCCACAGAACUUUCCAGAGAUGGAUUGGUGCCUUCGGGAACUGUGAGACAGGUGCUGCAUGGCUGUCGUCAGCUCGUGUUGUGAAAUGUUGGGUUAAGUCCCGCAACGAGCGCAACCCUUAUCCUUUGUUGCCAGCGAUUAGGUCGGGAACUCAAAGGAGACUGCCAGUGAUAAACUGGAGGAAGGUGGGGAUGACGUCAAGUCAUCAUGGCCCUUACGACCAGGGCUACACACGUGCUACAAUGGCGCAUACAAAGAGAAGCGACCUCGCGAGAGCAAGCGGACCUCAUAAAGUGCGUCGUAGUCCGGAUUGGAGUCUGCAACUCGACUCCAUGAAGUCGGAAUCGCUAGUAAUCGUGGAUCAGAAUGCCACGGUGAAUACGUUCCCGGGCCUUGUACACACCGCCCGUCACACCAUGGGAGUGGGUUGCAAAAGAAGUAGGUAGCUUAACCUU